UCUAAUAUCACCUUUGAUGAGUGAUAUUAGGAAAAAAGACAUUGCUGUGAUUUCCAAUUAACUCUGAAUGAAAAAUGCAAACAAACAAAAGGCUGUAUGAAUAUAAACUUUUUUUUUAUUAUUUUUCAAUUUUACUCCCAAUAAUUCCACUUAGAAGUCUCUGCACUGACCAGGGAUCAGAUUUCAGGUUGUUUGCUGAAUGUUUCCAUAGUAACCAGUUAGACUUAGUUGUUAAGUUAGACACUGUGUUUAUGUGCACUGGUGAAAGCGUUCAGUCAACCCAGCAUCUCAAAAUGGUAGAAGAGAAACAGCAUUUUUCUGUGAGCAGCGGUGGUAAAUGGUUUGCUCAUGCAGAUGUUUCUGAAAGCGAAGCAAUGGGAAGAGAAACUUGUACAACCACUGGACUCAUGCUGAGUCAGCUCGGGACAUCACCUCAGGGCUUGAGCUUGGAGCGGUUUCCUAAAUGGAAAACUCAUCAGAAAUCUAGAGAGUUUCCACACUCUCGCCAUGACAACAAGCAUGCUUUAAAGGACGACAUCACAAUCUUCUCUGAUGGUGUGGGACUGAGGAAAUGUCCUGAUAAUCUCAGACAGCAUAAUUCCCAUUUCUGCCUCCGUGACAGUGGAGCUGAGACCCAGGUCAGCCACAGUAUCUACAAAACAGACUUCACGUCAACGGAGGUCAGCGAUGUUCCAGAGAGAAGUAGGCGGUUCCCUCGAAAUCACAAACAGAAGUCAGCAGAGGCAGCAAAAGCUCAGGCAGGAGAGCAGUUCAUGUGGUUCGAACAACACAACGUGCACUGUCCAGACUCUCUGGAAAUGCUGGCAUCUGCCAGAAGAUCAGCACCUUCAAAGAUCAGAAAUAUUUGA
This 869-nucleotide long non-coding RNA is filed under the name Nothobranchius furzeri (turquoise killifish). Its description in RNAcentral is "lncRNA (ENSNFUG00015005829.1)". The record is from RNAcentral. Lineage: Eukaryota; Metazoa; Chordata; Actinopteri; Cyprinodontiformes; Nothobranchiidae.